UUUGCCAUGUUGGUCACGCCGGUCUCGAACUCCUGACCUUAGGUGAUCUGCCUGCCUUAGCCUCCCAAAGUGCUGAGAUUAUAGACAUGAACCUCUGUGCCCAGCCGCUUAAAAGUAUUCUGAGAAUCUCAGAAUCAUUCUAUGGCCAGUUUUGGCAACUGAGGCCCAAAUUUGUGUAAACUUUGAAGGAGAAGUUGUUUUUAAGAAGGCUUAGAAGAUUGAACUUGCUCUUUAUCAAAAUAUUAGUCUAACAUACUUGCAGUCUUUUAUAAUACAUUAUUAUAUUUUAGAGCACAUAAAAACUAUUCUAGUGAAAAAGUUCAUAUUUUAAAUAUUUUCUACAGUUCUCUGUGUAUGAGAUCCUUUAGUUUGCUAUCUACCUUAAGUGCCAGGGUUUAAACAUUUUUGCUGUAUUUUUCAGCUUAGAAAAUCUUCCUAUAAGAAUUAAAUGUGAUCUUUUUUUCUUACUUGUUAACGACUCACUGGCAUUAUACAAGUUUCCACCUACUAUGUCAGGAGAAAGUAUUGAUAAAAUCCUUAAAAUCACAGUAUAAUAGUAUACCUGAGCAUGCUAAAGAAGGAAACAAAUCACUCUCUUCCUUGAAUUAAAAAUUGUCCAAACUGUCUUGUCAUUAAGUGUAUUUUUGGACCUUGACGAAGUAACUACCCUGGAACCGUAAAGUUAGUAAUUCAUUUUAAGAUUUUAGGCUGGGCACCCUGGCUCAUGUCUGUAAUCCCAGCACUUUGGAAGGCCGAGGUGGGUCGAUCACUUGAGGCCAGGAGUUUGAGACCAGCCUGGCCAACAUGGCAAAACCCCCUCUCUAC
Long non-coding RNA from Sapajus apella (tufted capuchin), 825 nucleotides. RefSeq lists it as uncharacterized. Lineage: Eukaryota; Metazoa; Chordata; Mammalia; Primates; Cebidae. The transcript has 2 exons. The record is from RefSeq and is a predicted model, not a curated record.